GAUGAACGCUGGCGGCGUGCCUAAUACAUGCAAGUAGAACGCUGAAGGAGGAGCUUGCUCUUCUGGAUGAGUUGCGAACGGGUGAGUAACGCGUAGGUAACCUGCCUGGUAGCGGGGGAUAACUAUUGGAAACGAUAGCUAAUACCGCAUGACAACAGUUAUUGCAUGAUAACUGUUUAAAAGGGGCAACUGCUCCACUACCAGAUGGACCUGCGUUGUAUUAGCUAGUUGGUGAGGUAACGGCUCACCAAGGCGACGAUACAUAGCCGACCUGAGAGGGGGGUCGGCCACACUGGGACGGAGACACGGCCCAGACGACUACGGGAGGCAGCAGUAGGGAAUCUUCGGCAAUGGACGGAAGUCUGACCGAGCAACGCCGCGUGAGGGAAGAAGGUUUUCGGAUCGUAAAGCUCGGUUGUAAGAGAAGAACGAGUGUGAGAGUGGAAAGUUCACACUGUGACGGUAUCUGAACAGAAAGGGACGGCUAACUACGUG
RNAcentral lists this ribosomal RNA (495 nucleotides) under uncultured bacterium. RNAcentral describes it as "partial 16S ribosomal RNA". It matches the Rfam family "Bacterial small subunit ribosomal RNA", at positions 28 to 507 of the family's 1533-position model. The record is from RNAcentral.